UCCCCGUUGUUCGGGGCUGUCGGUCGUGAAUCGUAACAGGACACAGGGGUUGCGCUCGUUGCGGGACUUAACCCAACAUCUCAAGACACGAGCUGACGACAGCCAUGCAGCACCUGUGCAAGCUGGUAUUGCUACCUCGUCCCUCUUUCAAGGUUCCACUACUCGCAUGUCAAGGCCAGGUAAGGUUCUUCGCGUUGCAUCGAAUUAAGCCACAUACUCCACCGCUUGUGCAGGCCCCCGUCAAUUUCUUUGAGUUUCAACCUUGCGGUCGUACUUCCCAGGUGGGAUACUUAAUGCUUUCGCUCAGACACACACUGUGUAUCGCGUAUGUCGAGUAUCCAUCGUUUAGGGCGUGGACUAC
Molecule: unclassified non-coding RNA, 361 nt
Filed under: uncultured bacterium
Lineage: Bacteria
Description: contains 16S-23S intergenic spacer region
Source: RNAcentral